AGUCGACGGGAUUGAGAGCUUGCUCUCAUGAGAGUGGCGCACGGGUGAGUAACGCGUAUGCAACCUACCUUUAACUGAGGGAUAGCCCAUAGAAAUGUGGAUUAAUACCUCAUAGUUCUUUUGAUCCUCCUGGAUUGAUAGAUAAAGCUCCGGCGGUUAAAGAUGGGCAUGCGUGACAUUAGCUAGUUGGUAAGGUAACGGCUUACCAAGGCUACGAUGUCUAGGGGUUCUGAGAGGAUGAUCCCCCACACUGGUACUGAGACACGGACCAGACUCCUACGGGAGGCAGCAGUGAGGAAUAUUGGUCAAUGGGCGCAAGCCUGAACCAGCCAUCCCGCGUGCAGGAUGACGGCCCUAUGGGUUGUAAACUGCUUUUAUACACCAAGAAAAAUUCCCACGUGUGGGGACCUGACGGUAGUGUAUGAAUAAGCAUCGGCUAACUCCGUGCCAGCAGCCGCGGUAAUACGGAGGAUGCAAGCGUUAUCCGGAUUUAUUGGGUUUAAAGGGUGCGUAGGCGGCCUUUUAAGUCAGUGGUGAAAUCCUACCGCUUAACGGUAGAAUUGCCAUUGAUACUGAAAGGCUUGAGUACAUUUGAGGUAAGCGGAAUGUGUAGUGUAGCGGUGAAAUGCUUAGAUAUUACACAGAACACCAAUUGCGAAGGCAGCUUACUAAACUGAUACUGACGCUGAUGCACGAAAGCGUGGGGAGCGAACAGGAUUAGAUACCCUGGUAGUCCACGCCGUAAACGAUGUUCACUCGCUGUUUGCGAUACACAGCAAGCGGCCAAGCGAAAGCAUUAAGUGAACCACCUGGGGAGUACGAUCGCAAGGUUGAAAC
Molecule: ribosomal RNA, 837 nt
Filed under: uncultured bacterium
Lineage: Bacteria
Description: bacterial SSU rRNA
Rfam family: Bacterial small subunit ribosomal RNA
Source: RNAcentral